GACGAACGCUGGCGGCGUGCUUAACACAUGCAAGUCGAACGGAAAGGCCUGUCCUUCCUUGUGUUGGACGGGUGCUCGAGUGGCGAACGGGUGAGUAACACGUGAGUGAUCUGCCCCCAACUUGGGUAUAAGCCUGGGAAACUGGGUCUAAUUCCCGAUAGGACUGCAGGGUGGUGCCUGUGGUGGAAAACGAUUUUCUAGUGGUUGGGGAUGAGCUCGCGGCCUAUCAGCUUGUUGGUGGGGUAAUGGCCUACCAAGGCGGCGACGGGUAGCCGGCCUGGGAGGGUGGACGGCCACAUUGGGACUGAGAUACGGCCCAGACUCCUACGGGAGGCAGCAGUGGGGAAUAUUGCACAAUGGGCGGAAGCCUGAUGCAGCGACGCCGCGUGGGGGAUGACGGCCUUCGGGUGGUAAACUCCUUUCGACCGCGAGGAAGCCGCCUGGUUGGAAGGGUGGUGACGGUAGUGGUAGAAGAAGCACCGGCUAACUACGUG
RNAcentral lists this ribosomal RNA (494 nucleotides) under uncultured bacterium. RNAcentral's name for it is "partial 16S ribosomal RNA". It matches the Rfam family "Bacterial small subunit ribosomal RNA", at positions 28 to 507 of the family's 1533-position model. The record is from RNAcentral.